ACAGGAAUGGAAUAGGCAACAUUGUAUAUUAAUUUGGGAAGCACUGGGAAAACGUGCGUAAAUUUCCAUCCGUUCAUCGAUCUGUCGACACUUACCCUAGUGGUUAGUGUAGUUGUUUAUAUUCUUUGUGUUGUAACCAUUCCGCCGUUGUCGUAUAACUAAGUUCGAUCAUCAGUACAAAUAUCGUAAGUAAACACCAAUAUUUAUAGUACAGUUUCAGACGAUUUAACUUUCUACCGUAAGCACAUUAGUAUUUUCGAGCGAGAAUACUCAAAUCGAAAUAAAUUUCUUUAAUUUUAUCAUCUGGAAUUUAUCUAUUCCUUCAUAUUACUUACUACAAUUGAUAAACUGAUUAUGGUUUUAUAGGUAACGCACCUAAACGUUCAUUACCUAUCCACCGUAGGUUUAUAAUAUUCUAAUCUAAUAGUGUAUUCAUAAUACAUGAGUUAGUAGGUAUCUAUAUUUUUCCUAUACCUACAUGCAAAUUCAUAUGAUAUCAGAGUAUGUUAUUAAACAUGUUUCUUAUCAUCAGAUUUAUUAUUAAUUAUUUUUCAAAGUUAUUCUUAAUAUCCUUAAUAAUCUCAAAAUUAUAUUGAUAGUGCUAACAUAUUCUAUUAAUUAGUGUCCUCUUUGUUUGAUCUUGCCGUUCACUUUAAAUUUAAUACAUAAUAAAUUCAUGUCCGUGUACUUCCUAUGAUCUAAAUAAUUUAAGUCCGUGGACCGAACCGUGAUAAGGUUUUGUUUGAUACAUUGUAUACAAAUUUAGGAAGCCCUGUGGUGUCAAAUAUUGCUAUCAAAACGUGCGUAGACUUCCAUCCGUUCAUCGAUCUGUCGACAUUACCCUAGUGGUUAGUGUAGUUGCUUAUAUUCUUUGUUUUGUACCCAUUUCGCCGUUGUGGAAUUAAGAAGUUCGAUCGUCACUACAAAUAACGUAAGUAAACGCCUAUACUCAUAGUUCAGUUUCAGCCUAUUUAACUAACUAACGUAAGCACAUUGGUAUUUUCGAACGGGAA
Cinara cedri is the source of this 1013-nucleotide non-coding RNA. The record is from the annotation of a GenBank genome assembly. Lineage: Eukaryota; Metazoa; Arthropoda; Insecta; Hemiptera; Aphididae.